Molecule: non-coding RNA, 1112 nt
Organism: Cucurbita pepo subsp. pepo (vegetable marrow)
Lineage: Eukaryota; Viridiplantae; Streptophyta; Magnoliopsida; Cucurbitales; Cucurbitaceae
Source: RefSeq, a predicted model, not a curated record
UUUUUGUAUUUUAAUUCAGAAAAAUAAAAGAUAAUAAAAGAAUAAAAGGAGUAGACGGCAGCAGUAUUAGACUUUUCAUCCUGAAAGACGGCAAGCAGUAAGCAGUUUCGUAGCUUUGAAGGCUACAGAAUUUUGCUUAUUUAUUUGCGACAAAGGGUUUAAUCGGCAAACACUGCAAGCACCUUCGUGCGAUCGCAAUUGCGGCGUCUCAAUGGUGAAGCUGUAUGCGUCGUGUGCAGCCAUGGUGGCGGUGCAAAUUGGUAUGGCUUGUUGGAUGAUGGAAGUCUCACAUCAGUUAAUUUAAGGAUAUUCUCUCCAUUGGUACUAAGCCUUUUAGAGAUGCCCAAAGGAAAGCCACGAGAACUUAUGCUGAAAGUGGACAAUAUCAUACCAUUGUGGAGAGACGUGUUCGUCUAACAUUGCUGAUCCAAUUCUCAUGAAAGUGGCUAGCAACAGUUAUCAGGAAUGGAGUUAGUUACCUGUAGAAUUAGCCAUGCACUCCAAGCCACUGCUAUUCCCAGAGUCAUGAUUCUUGUAUAUGUUUAUGAGUGGCUCCUUCAAGAUGGCUUUGGUUACGUGGGGUCCCUUCAAGAACGUGGAAAUAAGGGAACCGUCAAUGCAGAUAACCGUCCUCAACAUUUAGCACCACCUCUUGCGGUCUUGAUAUUCACUUUCUCCAAUUAAAUAUUGUGUUCUUUGUAUUUUCUCUUUUGGGUUUUUCCUACCCUGAUAGCUAAGUGGUUAAUAAUGAUCAAACCUUUAUUGUUUAUGUUAUUAUUUACUUAUGUAUAAAGAUUGGAGAAAGUGAAUAUCAAGAUUACAAGAGGUGGUGCUAAAGUGUUGGGGACGGUUAUCUGCAUCGUUGAUACUGAAAUGCACAAUACAUCUGUAAAUGAUAAUCAAGUGAAUGAAAGUGUGAGAGAAACCAGAAUUUCUCCAAUUUCAGCUGCAAACGUUGCAAGUUAACUACAGAACACACCAUGUGGCAGCGCAGUUGUUUUGUUUCACUGUUUUUUUGUUGUACCAUUAUUUGUGUUGGAAAUAGCUUGUGCUUGGCUAAUUCUUCAGAACAUAAAUGAAAUAAAGAGACUCAAAGAUUUGCAAGCUUUGAA